Molecule: transfer RNA, 75 nt
Filed under: Alphaproteobacteria bacterium
Lineage: Bacteria; Pseudomonadati; Pseudomonadota; Alphaproteobacteria
Description: tRNA-Gln
Rfam family: tRNA
About the family: Transfer RNA (tRNA) molecules are approximately 80 nucleotides in length. Their secondary structure includes four short double-helical elements and three loops (D, anti-codon, and T loops).
Source: RNAcentral
UGGGGCGUAGCCAAGCGGUAAGGCAGUGGAUUUUGAUUCCACCAUUCCCAGGUUCGAAUCCUGGCGCCCCAGCCA